RNAcentral lists this ribosomal RNA (947 nucleotides) under uncultured bacterium. RNAcentral's name for it is "bacterial SSU rRNA". It matches the Rfam family "Bacterial small subunit ribosomal RNA", at positions 523 to 1482 of the family's 1533-position model. The record is from RNAcentral.
AUACGGAGGAUCCGAGCGUUAUCCGGAUUUAUUGGGUUUAAAGGGUGCGUAGGCGGCCUUUUAAGUCAGCGGUGAAAGUCUGUGGCUCAACCAUAGAAUUGCCGUUGAAACUGGGGGGCUUGAGUAUGUUUGAGGCAGGCGGAAUGCGUGGUGUAGCGGUGAAAUGCUUAGAUAUCACGCAGAACCCCGAUUGCGAAGGCAGCCUGCCAAGCCAUGACUGACGCUGAUGCACGAAAGCGUGGGGAUCAAACAGGAUUAGAUACCCUGGUAGUCCACGCAGUAAACGAUGAUCACUAGCUGUUUGCGAUACACUGUAAGCGGCACAGCGAAAGCGUUAAGUGAUCCACCUGGGGAGUACGCCGGCAACGGUGAAACUCAAAGGAAUUGACGGGGGCCCGCACAAGCGGAGGAACAUGUGGUUUAAUUCGAUGAUACGCGAGGAACCUUACCCGGGUUUGAACGCAUUCGGACCGAGGUGGAAACACCUUUUCUAGCAAUAGCCGUUUGCGAGGUGCUGCAUGGUUGUCGUCAGCUCGUGCCGUGAGGUGUCGGCUUAAGUGCCAUAACGAGCGCAACCCUUGCCACUAGUUACUAACAGGUAAAGCUGAGGACUCUGGUGGGACUGCCAGCGUAAGCUGCGAGGAAGGCGGGGAUGACGUCAAAUCAGCACGGCCCUUACAUCCGGGGCGACACACGUGUUACAAUGGCGUGGACAAAGGGAAGCCACCUGGCGACAGGGAGCGAAUCCCCAAACCACGUCUCAGUUCGGAUCGGAGUCUGCAACCCGACUCCGUGAAGCUGGAUUCGCUAGUAAUCGCGCAUCAGCCAUGGCGCGGUGAAUACGUUCCCGGGCCUUGUACACACCGCCCGUCAAGCCAUGGGAGCCGGGGGUACCUGAAGUCCGUAACCGCGAGGAUCGGCCUAGGGUAAAACUGGUGACUGGGGCU